Molecule: ribosomal RNA, 832 nt
Filed under: Knufia petricola
Lineage: Eukaryota; Fungi; Ascomycota; Eurotiomycetes; Chaetothyriales; Trichomeriaceae
Description: LSU rRNA
Rfam family: Eukaryotic large subunit ribosomal RNA
Source: RNAcentral
UGCCUCAGUAACGGCGAGUGAAGCGGCACAGCUCAAUUUGAAAUCUGGCCUUUACGGUCCGAGUUGUAAUUUGGAGAGGAUGUUUUGGGUACCGCCACGGUUUAAAUUUCUUGGAACAGAAUGUCAAAGAGGGUGAGAGUCCCGUCUUGGACCGCGGUAGGGCCUGUGUAAAACUCCUUCGAAGAGUCGACUUGUUUGGGAAUGCAGGUCAAAAUGGGUGGUAAAUUUCAUCUAAAGCUAAAUAUUGGCCAGAGACCGAUAGCGCACAAGUAGAGUGAUCGAAAGAUGAAAAGCACUUUGAAAAGAGAGUUAAACAGUAUGUGAAAUUGUUGAAAGGGAAGCGCUGGCAACCAGACUCGUGCGCGGGGUUCCCCCUUGCUUCUGCUUGGGUCACUUCCCCGUGUCCGGGCCAUCAUCAGUUUCGGGGGCCGGUUAAAGGCCCUGGGAAUGUACCCACGCCUUCGGGGGUGGACUUAUAGCCCAGGGUGUCAUGCGGCCACCCGGGACUGAGGAACGCGCUUCGGCGAGGAUGAUGGCGUAAUGGUUGUCAGCGGCCCGUCUUGAAACACGGACCAAGGAGUCUAACAUCUAUGCGAGUGUUCGGGUGUCAAACCCUUGCGCGGAAUGAAAGUGAACGGAGGUAGGAAGGCUUAAGCCUGCACUAUCGACCGAUCCUGAUGUCUUCGGAUGGAUUUGAGUAAGAGCAUAGCUGUUGGGACCCGAAAGAUGGUGAACUAUGCGUGAAUAGGGUGAAGCCAGAGGAAACUCUGGUGGAGGCUCGCAGCGGUUCUGACGUGCAAAUCGAUCGUCAAAUUGCGUAUAGGGCGAAAGA